AUCCAGUCAAGGAGGGAACGCAGUGAAGAUGCGCAGAGUGGCCAAGAGGAGACCGAGAAGCUGCUGCAAGUGGACAGCACAGCAGCAGACAGCCCACAGCAAUACAGUGCAAAAUGUGCUCAAGAAGAGUGGUGUUUUUCAUCAACAUUCAGUUAAAACCACAGAUGUGGAACAAGAGGGUAUGGAGAGCUGACUGUGACUCUAUCAUCAAGAGAGUAAUGAAAAGACACAAAAGAAGACUUCCAGAUCUGCUUCAGAACGUGACAAGGACAAGGAGAUAAAUGAUCACAGCUUUAGCAAUAUGUUAUCCACUGGAGACAUAUUACCCAUGAGAUCCUCUCCAUGUCAUAUCCCUAGACCUAACACAGCACUGCGGAGUGAGAGAUAAAGUGCCUUUAGAGGCCAAGCAGAAAAUAUAAAUACAAAUAAUGAGAAGAAAUGCACAACUAUAGUUAGAAGUUGGUGAAAAUGAAGAGUCAACAUUUUUCCUUUCCCUGUUCUUGGAGCUCAGAUUUUUUCCCAUCAAACUCAGGAUGGGACUCUUCAGUGCACUUGGAAGUGACCAGGGAUUGCAGUUGCAAUGUACAAGUGAGACAGUUGCACAAGUGGCAGCCUACACACGGUGCUCCAAGUGGGGGAGGACACUGUUGGGCAGGUCCACCCUCUCUGUUUCCUUGAAGACUCAGCCUCCUCCUGAGACCCUGAUGAUGCUCAUACUUCCCGACCAUCCAGACCCCAUCAUAUCUUUCCCAAAUCCUCAGCCUGCACGGAACCAGUGGACCCAAGGUGUGGACAGCACAGGCUGCACUGCAGGUCCAGGAGAGAAGGAACAGCUCACACCACUGAAACUCUGAACGAUCAGAAACAGCUGGUUGGAAGCAUAUGAAACAUACCAGGCCGCUUGGUUGGCCUCCCACCAGCUGCAUGCAGAAUCAAGAAUUCCAGAACUGUGGGAAACACUCUUUUGGGGAAGAGCAAAGGCACACGUGGCCACUGCGCAGAGGGCUGGAUAGAAAGACAGUGAGGCAAAGAGGGAGGUGGCUGUCUCAGCCAAGGGAGAUGAGCUGCCACAUCCUGGCCCUGCAGGCAGGGCCUCCUUAGGGCUAUGUAGGUAACCAAGAGAGGCCAGAUAGAACAUGCUCUGAAAAGCCGGCUUUCCUCUGCUAGGCAGGUGGAACCUCACAGCCAGGUAGAAGGAGUUGCCUCACAUCAACCCCCGGGUGAACAGAUUUGCAAAAGAUUAGGGAGUGAUUUGUCUAGUUCCGGAUAAGAAUUAGAUCAAUGGCUACCCUGGGCUCACUGCAUUUCUGGCAAAGUCCAUCUAUAGGUGUGCAGUGAAAUACGAGACAAUAGAUUGAAAAUGGGGCAGAGAGGAGGGGGUGCAAACAGGUCAAAGUCAGAGUGUAAGCAGUGCUUUGGAAAGAGAUUAAAGAGCUUACUUCUUAGUUCUGAUUUCCACAAUCCGAAACUAUGCAACUGGACAAAUAUUUAUGGCUCUCUUCCAGCCCAGCGGAGCUCACCAAGGGAGCCUGCAGAGGAAGUCCCUGCACGCCAACCUGGCUGCCACUUCCAGCCACUCAGCAACGCACCUUCGCUCUGGGAGGGGAGGGAUUUCUGUGUUUCCCACAGAAUCUGCUGUUCAGCCAACGCAGCUACCUUCUGGUUCUUGGUUAUUCAUAUCUGCCACCACCUCGUGCCCAGUUCCCUUGAAGCUGCCUCAGCCUGUGCGCAGAGCUGCAGGGACCAUUAGGCUCUGGGGCAAGGAGAUGCUGUUGAUUCUGGUUGCCCCCACACAGGGUUGAGUCACCACAAACUCACCUUUGCCUGUGGGGUAUUGGCUGCCACCUACAGCUCUGGGCCUGAGAAUAUUUCUUAUCAGAGCAUCACUUCCCCCUCUCGGAUUCCUGCAGCUGUGUCAACCUGGAAACGUGGGAAAAUCAGCCACUGGACUCUGGCCCGAUGGGAGAAGUUCAGAGUGAAGCUUCCACCCAAGACUGUUCAAAGGGACACCGAGUAAUGACUCAAGAAAACCAUCCUGGAUGUUGCUGUCUGCCCACUCUGGUUUUCUUCUCCUUGCCUGUGGAAUGAACUAUAUCACCUGUGCUGAGACACAGAACAACCCAGACACCACCAACAGCCAAAAGGUGGAUUGUGGCAUCACUGUGGGAGCAAUUGUUUGGUCCUUUGUAUUGGGGACUCUACUAGGCAUAGUUUAAUUGAUACCUGUCUAUUUCUGAAAAGUCGCGUGGUGAUGGGCCAUUGAAGGGAAGAGCUGUUUUGCACAUAUAAGCUUGCCUGGUUGUACAGUGCCCAGUGAUGAAUUAAAGGUAGAAGACCUGGCAUAUCUCCUGUGUUCGACUCUAGUGUGGAAUUUCUUCUACUGGAAACUGCCAGAUCACUUCAACAAGAGGCCAUUCAGUUAAGACAAUAAAGACUUUGAAUACAACUGAAUGUGAGAAAAAGGAUAAGAUGACAUUUUCUUCAAAAAUUCAUUCUCCAAAACCAUACUGUCGGUCCUUAUGGUGGCAAAGAGGUCAUGGGCUCAGGAGAUUGACAGGAGCAUUUAGCUGCUCCCAAUGACAAAAGCAAUCAGCCUGUUUCAUCUCCCUUGAAGAAGUUCAAGAAUGAGACUUCCAGCUGAGUGUGGUGAUACAUAACUGUAAUUUCAGCCCUCUGGGAGGCUGA
Molecule: long non-coding RNA, 2685 nt
Organism: Fukomys damarensis (Damara mole-rat)
Lineage: Eukaryota; Metazoa; Chordata; Mammalia; Rodentia; Bathyergidae
Exons: 5
Source: RefSeq, a predicted model, not a curated record